This 342-nucleotide long non-coding RNA is filed under the name Vitis vinifera (wine grape). Its description in RNAcentral is "long non-coding RNA (VVIN_LNC006301)". Lineage: Eukaryota; Viridiplantae; Streptophyta; Magnoliopsida; Vitales; Vitaceae. The record is from RNAcentral.
UUGGUCUUGGUGUUUGAAUAAAGCCUCUUCCAGUCAUCCAAUACCAUCUUACUUGGAGGCAACAGAUCAAGAGGGUUCUUUGGCUUUGGCUUGGGUGCCUCUUCCUCCUCAGCAGCCUCUGCCACUUUAGGCUUUACUGGUUCUUUUUUGGCCUCCUUUUUGGCCUCUUUUUUUGGCUCAUCCUUGUGCUUAGGUUCUUUUGGUUGUGAAGGCUUCUUUGCUGACUGAACAGGUGGAACAGAUUCUGCCUGUUUCACCUCACCCAAUAUCUUGCGGAAAUUUGGCUGAUUAACCAUGGUCCAGAAAUAUCUCUCAACAUGUGGGAACUCCGAGGUAAAGCUC